Molecule: ribosomal RNA, 253 nt
Filed under: uncultured bacterium
Lineage: Bacteria
Description: partial 16S ribosomal RNA
Rfam family: Bacterial small subunit ribosomal RNA
Source: RNAcentral
UACGUAGGGGGCAAGCGUUGUCCGGAAUCACUGGGCGUAAAGGGCGCGUAGGCGGCGCGGGAAGCGGGCGGUGAAAGCCCGGGGCUCAACCCCGGGUCGGCCGUGCGAACUCCCGGGCUCGAGCACUGUAGGGGCAGGCGGAAUUCCGGGUGUAGCGGUGGAAUGCGUAGAGAUCCGGAAGAACACCGGUGGCGAAGGCGGCCUGCUGGGCAGUGGCUGACGCUGAGGCGCGACAGCGUGGGGAGCAAACAGG